GAAUACCUAGUAUUACAGCCGUUUUACUAGGAGGUACCUAUACCUGUGUAGAUGCUUCUUUCAAAUGUGUCCUAUUUGGAGUUUGCUGACCUUUAGUAAUCUAUAAAUAUAGGCCUUUCACCAGAUUUGGAAAGUUUUGGUCAUCAUUUCUUCAAAUAAUUUUUGUCUCAAAUUUUUCCUUUGUUUCUAGGACUCCAAUUACCUAAUUAAGGUGUUAGACCUUUUGAAAUGUUCCACUGUUCUCUGGGGCUCAGUUUGUACUUUUCCUUUUUUUUUUUGAGAUGGAGUCUCCUCUGUCACCAGGCUGGAGUGCACUGGUGCAGUCUUGGCUCACUGCAACCUCCGCCUCCUGGGUUCAAGCAAUUCUCCUGCCUCAGCCUCCCAAAUAGCUGGGAUUACAAGCACAUACCACCAUGCCCAGCUAAUUUUUGUAUUUUUAGUAGAGAUGGGUUUUCACCAUGUUGGCCAGGCCGGUCUUGAACUCCUGAC
RNAcentral lists this long non-coding RNA (489 nucleotides) under Pan troglodytes (chimpanzee). Its description in RNAcentral is "long non-coding RNA NONPTRT011735". The record is from RNAcentral. Lineage: Eukaryota; Metazoa; Chordata; Mammalia; Primates; Hominidae.